CAGCCGCCACGGGAAUACGAAGGGGGCUAGCGUUGCUCGGAAUGACUGGGCGUAAAGGGCGCGUAGGCGGAUUGUUUAGUUAGGCGUGAAAUUCCUGGGCUUAACCUGGGGACUGCGCUUAAUACAGGCAGUCUAGAGUGAGGAAGAGGGUUGUGGAAUUCCCAGUGUAGAGGUGAAAUUCGUAGAUAUUGGGAAGAACACCGGUGGCGAAGGCGGCAACCUGGUCCUUGACUGACGCUGAGGCGCGAAAGCGUGGGGAGCAAACAGGAUUAGAUACCCCGGUAGUCCCUGUCUCUUAUAC
This 301-nucleotide ribosomal RNA is filed under the name uncultured bacterium. RNAcentral's name for it is "partial 16S ribosomal RNA". It matches the Rfam family "Bacterial small subunit ribosomal RNA", at positions 509 to 807 of the family's 1533-position model. The record is from RNAcentral.